RNAcentral lists this ribosomal RNA (490 nucleotides) under uncultured bacterium. RNAcentral's name for it is "bacterial SSU rRNA". It matches the Rfam family "Bacterial small subunit ribosomal RNA", at positions 8 to 518 of the family's 1533-position model. The record is from RNAcentral.
AGAGUUUGAUCAUGGCUCAGGACGAACGCUGGCGGCGUGCUUCAUACAUGCAAGUCGAACGAGAAGCUGACUUCGGUCAGUGGAAAGUGGCGGACGGGUGAGUAAUAUGUAGAGAAUCUGCCCUUGAGUGGGGGACAACAGAGGGAAACUUCUGCUAAUACCCCAUAUGAGCUAACUUGAAAUAGUUAUCUUGAAAACUCCGGUGCUCAAGGAUGAGUCUGCAUCUGAUUAGCUAGUUGGCGGUGUAAUGGACCACCAAGGCGACGAUCAGUAGCUGGUUUGAGAGGAUGAUCAGCCACAAUGGGACUGAGACACGGCCCAUACUCCUACGGGAGGCAGCAGUAGGGAAUUUUGCGCAAUGGGCGAAAGCCCUGACGCAGCAACGCCGCGUGAACGAUUAAGCCCUUCGGGGUGUAAAGUUCUGUCAGUAGGGACGAAUUUUGACGGUACCUACAGAGGAAGCACCGGCUAACUCCGUGCCAGCCGCGGC